Molecule: ribosomal RNA, 664 nt
Filed under: uncultured bacterium
Lineage: Bacteria
Description: bacterial SSU rRNA
Rfam family: Bacterial small subunit ribosomal RNA
Source: RNAcentral
CGCGUGAGGAACCUGGCUCAAAGAGGGGGACAACAGUUGGAAACGACUGCUAAUACCGCAUAAGCCCACGGGUCGGCAUCGACCUGAGGGAAAAGGAGCAAUCCGCUUUGAGAUGGCCUCGCGUCCGAUUAGCUAGUUGGUGAGGUAACGGCCCACCAAGGCGACGAUCGGUAGCCGGACUGAGAGGUUGAACGGCCACAUUGGGACUGAGACACGGCCCAGACUCCUACGGGAGGCAGCAGUGGGGAAUAUUGCACAAUGGGGGAAACCCUGAUGCAGCGACGCCGCGUGGAGGAAGAAGGUCUUCGGAUUGUGAACUCCUGUUGUUGAGGAAGAUAAUGACGGUACUCAACAAGGAAGUGACGGCUAACUACGUGCCAGCAGCCGCGGUAAAACGUAGGUCACAAGCGUUGUCCGGAAUUACUGGGUGUAAAGGGAGCGCAGGCGGGAAGACAAGUUGGAAGUGAAAUCUAUGGGCUCAACCCAUAAACUGCUUUCAAAACUGUUUUUCUUGAGUAGUGCAGAGGUAGGCGGAAUUCCCGGUGUAGCGGUGGAAUGCGUAGAUAUCGGGAGGAACACCAGUGGCGAAGGCGGCCUACUGGGCACCAACUGACGCUGAGGCUCGAAAGUGUGGGUAGCAAACAGGAUUAGAUACCCUGGUAGU